AUUAAAGUAUGCGUAAACCAUAAUUCAGCCCAAAACCGAACACAAACAAGAAAAUUAAGCCAUUUUCGCAUGGCUUAAUAUUACAUAAUCUAAAUUCAAGUAUUUCAUCUACGCUAUACAUGCCAUAAGAUCGAAUUCAAAAUUUACAAAAUACCGAGAGGAGUCGAUAGUGUGAUAAUCUUCUCUGACGAUCUCCGAGCUCGUAACCAACUUCCAAAAAUCUAUAAAACGAAGAACAACAUACACACAGUAAGCUAUUUAAAGCUUAGUAAGUCAUAAGCAAAAAUUCAUUUAUAUAUAUAUUAAUACUUAUUCCAUCAUUAAGUUAAAAUAAACCAAAUAUCAUAAUAUUUUGUACCAUAUAACACUUUAAUAAAAAUCACAUUGUAUUUUCAUAUAAACAAACCAUAUGGCCAAAUACACAUAAAUAUUUAGCAAAGCCGAAUAUUCAAUAAAUCAUUAUGCUAAAACAUGCUUAUACUCAAAUGAUUAACUCAUACUCUAUAUUUCAUUUGAAACUAUUAUCAAAUUAAAAUAAUCAACUUACCUCAUCAGCAAUUAAGCAAAUGGCUAACACAUACCUGAAUAAUUUAACUUUCUUAACACAUUUAUUUGCUUUUACUAUUGCUCAUAUAAAAUUUAUAAAACAUAGAGCCCUAUAUAAAACACCGGCAUAAAGCCUGCUAGGCACAAAGCCCGAUUCAUUUCACCGGCACAAAGCCUGCUAGACAUAAAGUCGGAAUUAAUUCACCGGCAUCAAGCCUGCUAGACAUAAAGUCUAAAAUAAUUCACCGGCAUCAAGCCUGCUAGGCAUUAAGCCUGAAAUAAUUCACCGGCAUCAAGCCUGCUAGGCAUUAAGCCUGAAAUAAUCCACCGGCAUCAAGCCUGCUAGGCAUUAAGCCUGAAAUAAUCCACCGGCAUCAAGCCUGCUAGGCAUUAAGCCUGAAAUAAUCCACCGGCAUCAAGCCUGCUAGGCAUUAAGCCUGAAAUAAUCCACCGGCAUCAAGCCUGCUAGGCAUUAAGCCUGAAAAUCUCAUAUACAAAGAUGAUCUUUCGUAUAAUUCUUUAUGUUUACCUAAGUCUUACUCAAUAACCGUAUCUCCGUAAGAAUUGAAUUAUAUUCAAUUCUCCAUAGCAAACAAACAUUCGAACCACAUAUGUAUAAUUUACAACAUUAAAAUUUAGCUCAAAGAAUUUGUAACCUAUAUUCGAACCACAUAUGUAAGUAAAAUUCAUACAUUAAAUUCAGCUCAAGAACUUUGUAACCUAUAUUUGAACCACAUAUGUAUAUAAAAUUCAUACAUUAAAUACAGCUCAAGAACUUUAAAUAUAUAUAUUCGAACCAUAUGUGCAUAUAUAUAUAAUUCAUAAUAUUAAGUUCAACUCAAAGAAUCAAAGAACUUGUAUCAUACAUUCAAACUUUAUAUAUAUAAUUCAUAACUUUAAAUUCAACUCAAGAAAUUAAAUCUUACAUUCGAACUACAUAUCCAUGUACAUUCUACUAUUAGUUUCAUAUCAUUGAACUUAAAGCAUACUUUAGCUAAUAUACAUGUAAUUUAUACCAUUAAUAUCAACCUCCCAAAAUUAAUUUCUAUGUUCGGCUAUCACAUAGAAAAAUCACCAAGUUUUAUUCAAUUUAUAUACUUUUAGUUCCAGCUUACUAAAUGUAUGAUAGAUAUAUUUAUAUAAAUUCCAAUUUAAUAACAUUUAAAUUGCUAUUAGACUUACCUUGGAUGUCGUCGACUGUUAAAUCGGCUACUCGACCACUUUUGUAUUUCCCCGAUCCAAAUCUGAUUUCUUUAAUUCUUGAUCUAAGCAUAUUCAAAUUAAGUUUAUUUAAACAUCAUUCUAUUCAAUUUAACCUAAAAACACAUAAAUAGGCAAAUUACAAUUUUGCCCCUAACAUUUCACACUUUUUACAAUUUAGUCCUUUUUGCUCAAAACACAAAAUACACAAAAUUUGACUUCACUCCUUAAAGGCCGAAUAAUCCUAGUGUCCAUACAAGCCCACAUAUUUCAUUUAUUUCACAUUUUAGUCCCUCAAAAAUUUAUUUUUACAAUUAAACCCUAAUUACUCAAAUUCAUCAAAAACUCAAAGACACGACAUGUUAAUCUUUCACAUAUCUUUCAUAUUCCAUCAUCAACUAUCAUAAAGCUCAAGCAUUCAUCAAUGGCAUUUCUCAAAAUCAUCAACAAUUCACAAAAUUAAGAUAUGGGUUUUGAAGUAUUCAAAGCAAUGAUCUCAAAAACGUAAAAAUUAUCAAAAACCAAACAAAAACCAACCUUGAAUUAAGCUUCAAAAUGGCCGAAUGUUUCAAGCUUUCAAACCUUGUUUUUCUUUU
Molecule: long non-coding RNA, 2342 nt
Filed under: Gossypium barbadense (sea-island cotton)
Lineage: Eukaryota; Viridiplantae; Streptophyta; Magnoliopsida; Malvales; Malvaceae
Description: long non-coding RNA (GBAR_LNC003003)
Source: RNAcentral